Molecule: long non-coding RNA, 891 nt
Filed under: Pandoravirus celtis
Description: hypothetical ncRNA
Source: RNAcentral
CGGCGGUCUGGGUAAGUAGGUCGCUGCUCAUGGUGGUCGCUGCCGGCUCUGGCGCGCAGACAUUGUCGAGAGGCGCGCACGCCCACGCGCUGCCGGGCGUCGGGGUCCCAGCGUCAAAGGGAUCAUUGCCCUCGUCAUAGGCGGGCAGCGGAGGUGGGAGGGUUGAGGCGGCAGCCGCCAGUGCGCCGGUGCCCAUCCACCGCGAUGUGGUUGUCCCGCCGAGCGGCUGGAAGCGUACGGGUAUGCACAGGGGACGCAUGGCCGGGAGCGACGACGACCCGAUAUCAUUGUUGGCCUGGUUGGCGAGCAUGGUUACGGAAAAAAAAGGGGUACAAAAAUAUGAGCCCUUCACAAAAGGAUGGCCGAUGUGGCCGAAAAGAAGGACGAGCGCCUGGGCCGACAAGGGAUGCGCGUAUAUUGCGCGUGCACGACCCUUUUCCUUUUGAUGGCGCCGCGGUUUGGGCGCGUACACGCGACUCUGUCGACCGCCCCUUUUUUCCUCUCUCGGCUGUGCCGUCGCUUGUCCCCCGACCGUGCAACACAAGGCUUCUCGGUCCAACAAAUGAAAAGAAAAUGAAUAAAAAAAGAAACAGGAAAGAAAAAAGGGGAUCAGCCCGCGCGUGUUCCUGACCGCGCACAAUGAUCCCGAAAAGAAAAAGACGAAAAGACUUGCCGGCCUCUGCGCGCACGAAGAGAAAAAAAAGUCUGGCGCCGCCACGGCCUGCAACCGCCAAGGCAAGACGGCUCCCACGAGGCAAGGCACCGCCAAAAGGGCAAAGCAAGACCACAAAGACGUGCAAAAAAAGGCGACCCCACAGAAUUGGGUUUUUCGAGAUGCAACUGGUUGUAUAUUUUUUGUGUUUUUAAAAAAAAUAGAAAACUCUUUCGAGG